UGGCAUUCAUCGGUGCCUGCGUGCUUCGCUUUUGCGUUGCGCCUGGCUUCGUGCAUUUGCCUGCGGCAUACGCUGAGGCGGUUGGUUGCCCCUUCUGAAAUGUGCGGCGUUGCCCACCUUCGGGUGGUGUCUUGUCGUGCGUGGAGGUUGUUUGUGGUGGCUAGCUGUGCGAAAGCGCGGAUCCGGCCUUUGCGCGAUUGUCUGCUAGCGUGCGUUCGGUUUCGGCGGUGGCUUGCCACCUGUCGUUGCUGUGGCGUUCGUGUGGUGGGCGGUUGCUCAUUGGAUUCGUUCUCGGUGUGAAAAGUCGACCACCUAUCCGACCCGUCUUGAAACACGGACCAAGAAGUGUAGCAUUUGCGCGAGUCAUUGGGUGUUAAACCUAUUGGCGUAAUGAAAGUAAAGCUGGCCUUGCGUCAGUGAUAUGUGAUCCGUGCGCCCUUGGGCGUGCGGCGCAACAUAGCCCCAUGCCGGCUGCUUGCAGCGGUGUGGAGGUAGAGCGUAAAUGCUGCGACCCGAAAGAUGGUGAACUAUGCCCGAGCAGGAUGAAGCCAGAGGAA
RNAcentral lists this ribosomal RNA (557 nucleotides) under Neodiplogaster unguispiculata. Its description in RNAcentral is "partial 28S ribosomal RNA". It matches the Rfam family "Eukaryotic large subunit ribosomal RNA", at positions 547 to 860 of the family's 3401-position model. Lineage: Eukaryota; Metazoa; Nematoda; Chromadorea; Rhabditida; Diplogasteridae. The record is from RNAcentral.